UUAAAUCAGUUAUGGUUCCUUGGAUCGUACUCCGCUACUUGGACAACUGUGGCAAUUCUAGAGCUAAUACAUGCAGCAGAGCUCCGACCUUCGGGGACGAGCGCUUUUAUUAGACCAAGACCGACCGGGCCUCGUGUCCGUCGAGCGUGGUGACUCUGUAUAACUUUGGGCUGAUCGCACGGGCUCGUCCCGGCGACGUAUCCUUCAAGUAUCUGCCUUAUCAACUGUCGAUGGUAGGUUACUUGCCUACCAUGGUCGUGACGGGUAACGGGGAAUCAGGGUUCGAUUCCGGAGAGGGAGCCUGAGAAACGGCUACCACAUCCAAGGAAGGCAGCAGGCGCGCAAAUUACCCACUCCCGGCACGGGGAGGUAGUGACGAAAAAUAACAAUACGGGACUCUUUUGAGACCCCGUAAUUGGAAUGAGUACACUCUAAGCCCUUU
Molecule: ribosomal RNA, 442 nt
Filed under: Cyatholipidae sp. GH1070
Lineage: Eukaryota; Metazoa; Arthropoda; Arachnida; Araneae; Cyatholipidae
Description: SSU rRNA
Rfam family: Eukaryotic small subunit ribosomal RNA
Source: RNAcentral